GACGAACGCGGCGGCGUGCCUAAUACAUGCAAGUAGAACGCUGAAGGGAGAGCUUGCUCUUCUGGAUGAGUUGCGAACGGGUGAGUAACGCGUAGGUAACCUGCCUGGUAGCGGGGGAUAACUAUUGGAAACGAUAGCUAAUACCGCAUAACAUUGACUAUUGCAUGAUAGUCAAUUGAAAGGUGCAAAUGCACCACUACCAGAUGGACCUGCGUUGUAUUAGCUAGUUGGUGGGGUAACGGCUCACCAAGGCGACGAUACAUAGCCGAUCUGAGAGGGUGAUCGGCCACACUGGGACUGAGACACGGCCCAGACUCCUACGGGAGGCAGCAGUAGGGAAUCUUCGGCAAUGGACGGAAGUCUGACCGAGCAACGCCGCGUGAGUGAAGAAGGUUUUCGGAUCGUAAAGCUCUGUUGUAAGAGAAGAAACGAAGUGUGAGAAG
This 443-nucleotide ribosomal RNA is filed under the name Streptococcus cristatus. Its description in RNAcentral is "bacterial SSU rRNA". It matches the Rfam family "Bacterial small subunit ribosomal RNA", at positions 28 to 464 of the family's 1533-position model. The record is from RNAcentral. Lineage: Bacteria; Bacillati; Bacillota; Bacilli; Lactobacillales; Streptococcaceae.